CAGAAAAUGCCAAACCACCCUCUCUAUUUCCUUUAAAUCUACUCUGGUUAAGAAACUAUAAUGAAGACAUGAACCACUUUUGUAAGGAGCAAAUGAGAUCAACUCACUUCAUACUCUUAAAAUUAUAAGAAAAUCCUUUUUAAGGCUGAAGUAUUCAGGAAAUCUCCCUUAUAGAAAAGUUGCUGCCUCUGUGUGAGUGGAGUCCAGAAGAUUUCAGUGUUUAGAAUGUACACAUCUGGCAACUGCACAAGUUUUGUGUUUUCUCUGAGCUGCCUCUGAAACAGCUGGC
Pipra filicauda (Wire-tailed manakin) is the source of this 289-nucleotide long non-coding RNA. RefSeq lists it as uncharacterized. The transcript is spliced from 3 exons. NCBI's taxonomy places the organism in Eukaryota, Metazoa, Chordata, Aves, Passeriformes, Pipridae. The record is from RefSeq and is a predicted model, not a curated record.